ACGGGUGAGUAACGCGUAUGCAACCUACCUAUCAGGAGGGGAAUAACCCGGCGAAAGUCGGACUAAUACCGCAUAAAACAGGGGCACCGCAUGGUGAUAUUUGUUAAAGAAUUCGCUGAUAGAUGGGCAUGCGUUCCAUUAGGUAGUUGGUGAGGUAACGGCUCACCAAGCCGACGAUGGAUAGGGGAACUGAGAGGUUGGUCCCCCACACUGGUACUGAGACACGGACCAGACUCCUACGGGAGGCAGCAGUGAGGAAUAUUGGUCAAUGGGCGGGAGCCUGAACCAGCCAAGUCGCGUGAAAAGGAAGAAGGAUCUAUGGUUCGUAAACUUCUUUUGCAGGGGAAUAAAGUGCAGGACGUGUCCUGUUUUGUAUGUACCCUGAGAAUAAGGAUCGGCUAACUCCGUGCCAGCAGCUGC
This 420-nucleotide ribosomal RNA is filed under the name uncultured bacterium. RNAcentral describes it as "bacterial SSU rRNA". It matches the Rfam family "Bacterial small subunit ribosomal RNA", at positions 102 to 518 of the family's 1533-position model. The record is from RNAcentral.